ACGAAAAGAACUUAGAUUAAAAGAAGAAAUCAGCAUUGAUACCAAGGACUGCUACCUUCCCCGAAAUCCAUGAAAAACAAGAUAGAAAGGCAGGCAUAUGAUGCCAACUUUGAAUUGGAAAAAGAUGCACUGCCAAUUACAUUGUGGGCAGAAUGUCAUAGAUAAUGUUUUCCAAUCUUGAACCCAUUCAUGGUUUUCUGCAAAUCAUUUUGUUUUAAGGAAGAUGAUCGACUCCUCAAGGAUAAGAGUGAACAGCAACGUUAUGCUGCUUCUCUUCUGAACAUGGAAGAUGUGUACUUACUGGGUCCCAUUAAUUCUGUAACAAUAUGUAUAUUUUUUCUGUGACAUAAUAAGAUGCACCACUCAUCCUAACUUAGUUACCUACAUGCUAUAGAGCUACCGCCCCAGCUGCAUAGCAAAUCUCAAGUUGGCUGGCAAGGCAUUCUAUUUGCAAGAAGUCUCUUUCCUUUAGAGGAAGGACUACCAUCCAAUGUUGGAUUUUUGUGUAUUGAGGAGUGCCAGCAGUUGACAUCACUAUCAGGGAUGCAAAAACUUAUUUGUCCUAAAAUAUUAAUUAUAAAAGUUUGUUCUCAACUCCUG
RNAcentral lists this long non-coding RNA (600 nucleotides) under Phoenix dactylifera (date palm). RNAcentral's name for it is "long non-coding RNA (PDAC_LNC020888)". Lineage: Eukaryota; Viridiplantae; Streptophyta; Magnoliopsida; Arecales; Arecaceae. The record is from RNAcentral.